CCAAUUUUCUCCAAAACAAACCCUAAAUGAAUUUUUGGCUAUAAAGUCAUAUUUAUACCUUAAUUCAUUGGAGUGGCAAACUUGUAAAUAAGUCCAAAACCCACUCCAAAACCAAAUGGCCGGCCAUGGGAUAUUAUUGGCCUAAUUGGGCCUUUGUGAAUCAUUAUUCAUUAAGUUGUCAUACAACUUAAGUCAAUGGACUUGACGUUCGAAGCCCAUUGGGCCUUGAGGUCCAAAACUAUCCCGAGGAAUUUAACGAACUUUAUUCGUUUAAUUAAUUAACAUAUUAAUUAAUCCUUGCCAUAAAUAAUUAAACCAUUUAAUUAUUCUUACUCAUCUCCAAUGUUUCUUCAAUCUCCACCUUACA
RNAcentral lists this long non-coding RNA (367 nucleotides) under Malus domestica (apple). RNAcentral's name for it is "long non-coding RNA (MDOM_LNC010728)". Lineage: Eukaryota; Viridiplantae; Streptophyta; Magnoliopsida; Rosales; Rosaceae. The record is from RNAcentral.